GGAAUAUUGGACAAUGGGGGCAACCCUGAUCCAGCCAUGCCGCGUGCGUGAAGAAGGCCUUAGGGUUGUAAAGCGCUUUCACUGGUGAAGAUGAUGACGGUAGCCAGAGAAGAAGCCCCGGCUAACUCCGUGCCAGCAGCCGCGGUAAUACGAAGGGGGCUAGCGUUGUUCGGAAUUACUGGGCGUAAAGGGCGCGUAGGCGGAUCGGCCAGUCAGGGGUGAAAUCCCGGGGCUCAACCUCGGAACUGCCUUUGAUACUGCCGAUCUAGAGUCUGUGAGAGGGUGGCGGAAUACCCAGUGUAGAGGUGAAAUUCGCAGAUAUUGGGUAGAACACCAGUGGCGAAGGCGGCCACCUGGCACAGUACUGACGCUGAGGCGCGAAAGCGUGGGGAGCA
This 395-nucleotide ribosomal RNA is filed under the name uncultured bacterium. RNAcentral's name for it is "bacterial SSU rRNA". It matches the Rfam family "Bacterial small subunit ribosomal RNA", at positions 358 to 770 of the family's 1533-position model. The record is from RNAcentral.